RNAcentral lists this ribosomal RNA (274 nucleotides) under uncultured bacterium. RNAcentral's name for it is "partial 16S ribosomal RNA". It matches the Rfam family "Bacterial small subunit ribosomal RNA", at positions 523 to 796 of the family's 1533-position model. The record is from RNAcentral.
AUACGGAGGGUGCAAGCGUUACUCGGAAUCACUGGGCGUAAAGCGCGCGCAGGCGGUCUUUUAAGUUGGAUGUGAAAGCCUACGGCUCAACCGUAGAACUGCAUACAAAACUAUUAGACUAGAGUGUGGGAGAGGAAGAUGGAAUUAGUUGUGUAGGGGUAAAAUCCGUAGAGAUAACUAGGAAUACCAAAAGCGAAGGCAAUCUUCUGGAACACUACUGACGCUGAGGCGCGAAAGCGUGGGGAGCAAACAGGAUUAGAAACCCUAGUAGUCC